CUACGUGACGCAGCAGUGGGGAAUAUUGCGCAAUGGGGGAAACCCUGACGCAGCAACGCCGUGUGAGGGAUGAAGGCUUUCGGGUCGUAAACCUCUGUCAGGCAGGACGAAACAUCUAAACAUGAAUAAUGUUUAGAUCUGACGGUACUGCCAGAGGAAGCCCCGGCUAACUCCGUGCCAGCAGCCGCGGUAAUACGGAGGGGACAAACGUUGUUCGGAAUUAUUGGGCGUAAAGAGCGCGUAGGUGGUCAGAAAAGUCAGACGUGAAAUCCCUCUGCUCAACAGAGGAAGGGCGUUUGAAUCGCUCUGGCUUGAGUGUGGGAGAGGAGAGUGGAAUUCCCAGUGUAGCGGUGAAAUGCGUAGAUAUUGGGAAGAACACCAGUGGCGUAGGCGGCUCUCUGGCCCAUUACUGACACUGAGGCGCGAAAGCUAGGGGAGCAAACGGGAUUAGAUACCCCUGUAGUC
RNAcentral lists this ribosomal RNA (465 nucleotides) under uncultured bacterium. Its description in RNAcentral is "partial 16S ribosomal RNA". It matches the Rfam family "Bacterial small subunit ribosomal RNA", at positions 339 to 795 of the family's 1533-position model. The record is from RNAcentral.